This 253-nucleotide ribosomal RNA is filed under the name uncultured bacterium. Its description in RNAcentral is "partial 16S ribosomal RNA". It matches the Rfam family "Bacterial small subunit ribosomal RNA", at positions 524 to 776 of the family's 1533-position model. The record is from RNAcentral.
UACGGGGGGGGCAAGCGUUGUUCGGAAUUACUGGGCGUAAAGGGCUCGUAGGCGGCCAACUAAGUCCGACGUGAAAUCCCAAGGCUUAACCUUGGAACUGCGACGGAUACUGGAUGGCUUGAAAUCGGGAGAGGGAUGCAGAAUUCCAGGUGUAGCGGUGAAAUGCGUAGAUAUCUGGAGGAAUACCGGUGGCGAAGGCGGCAUCCUGGACCGACAUUGACGCUGAUGAGCGAAAGCUAGGGGAGCAAACGGG